GAGAUCACUGACAGAGAAAUGACCACCAGCCUGUCUGGUGCUGGAUGACAGAACACGACCACCACCAACAUCCACACGACGCCUGCUUAGUGCUGACUCAAACGACACCAGUCUGUCACAACUGAGGCGGUCUGUCUACUGCUGGAUAACUGGAUAAACUGAUGCCUCCUGUCUGUCAGAGAUGACACCGUCUGUCUAUUGCUGGAUAAACUGAUGCCACCUGUCUGUCAGAGAUGACACCGUCUGUCUACUGCUGGAUACGUCACGUGCACCAGACAAGUGACAGUAGUCUCUGCUGAAUGGACUGACACCACGUGACCACUGUCAACUGCUGGAGGAACUAACACCACCACACCUUUGUGACAUCUGUGUGCUGCAACAUAUUCAGACACCACUUACACCCUAGUAACACCUGUAGACUGUUAGAUGAACCGACACCACCACAGGUCACGACGACCCUUUAGAGUGCCAGACGAACUGACACCGCCUACACACGAGACACCUACUCUGGAUGAACCAACAACACCUGCACCUACGUGAAAGUCACAUGACCAAUGUCCCGCUUUCAUGGAGCUUUUCAGGGUUAGUGAUGACAAGCCACCGAGAUGAGCGUGCUGUCCUGCUCCCUGCAGUCCUCCCUUUGAUGAUAAUACUUUGUACGAACUGUGGUAUGAGCAGGUGACUUGCCGUUCACAGAUUGGUAUGAGCAUGAUAUUCUCCGUUCACAGAUGACGUAUGAGCAGGUGACUUCCACGUUCACAGAAAGGUAGCAGCUGUAUCAGCUGGAGCUCCGCCAUCACAGCAGCAGACAGAAAGGUGGUUAUUAGUUUCAAUGAGUUUGUGGUUUCACCCGAGUACACGCGCGCGGACACACACACACUCACACAGAGUGAAGAGAUUCCAGUCACUUGAAAUUGUCGUUUAAUGCAUUACAAUGUCGUUUCAUUGCACGGAAAUAACACUUAACUUUUGCUCACACACAAAUGCACAAAGUCUGACUCGUUGGUAAUCAAAUAAGUUUUUGUUUCCAGAAACUCAAUCCAAAAAACAAGCAAAUAUAAAUGUUAUCCACGGUGAACCUUUGCCUGGAGUCGUCAGUGUACCGCUCAGUUACAGGGACAAACACUGAAUCUCAAGCACCUAGCUAAGCCUUCUUUACACCUGUUGUCUCAGUUACAGGUGCAAACACAUCGUGCAGUCCCUCUAAAGUGCAGGAAUAAUUAUGUUGUACAAUCUGCUGCCUACCAAGGCGUAAUCAUUACUAGAAGCUAAAGCCAUGUUUGCUGGACUACAAAAACAAACAAACCAGGGCCACUAACAAAGUGGCAGCAUUGUCACUAACCCUGCAACAGAGAUGGAAAGGAAAUAAAUCAGUAAUGGUUACCGCAGAGACAAGAGAAAGCAAACAGGGUCUCACAUGAUUCUUCUCACCUUCAUGGCUUCAUUACAGACUAGCAAACAAAAUAAUUUAUGUCACUGAUGAACCUGACAUGCAAGUGCGAGAUAAAAUACUGCACUCAAUGUUUAAGACAUGAUGUUGAUCACAGGCACUGCUUGCUUUCAAAAAGCAGUUUCUAUCAACUUUAACCAUGAUGCAAAGAUUCUGGAUUAACAGCAUUCUCAGAAACAAAAACUGAAU
Molecule: long non-coding RNA, 1639 nt
Filed under: Pomacea canaliculata
Lineage: Eukaryota; Metazoa; Mollusca; Gastropoda; Architaenioglossa; Ampullariidae
Description: uncharacterized LOC112556417
Source: RNAcentral